GUGUCAGCAGCCGCGGUAAUACGGAGGGGGCUAGCGUUGUUCGGAAUUACUGGGCGUAAAGGGCGCGUAGGCGGCGAUUUAAGUUAGGCGUGAAAGCCCCGGGCUUAACCUGGGAACUGCGCUUGAUACUGGAUUGCUUGAGGACGGGAGAGGGUAGUGGAAUUCCCAGUGUAGAGGUGAAAUUCGUAGAUAUUGGGAAGAACACCAGUGGCGAAGGCGACUGCCUGGCCCGUUACUGACGCUGAGGCGCGAAAGCGUGGGGAGCAAACAGGAUUAGAUACCCUGGUAGUCCACGCCGUAAACGAUGAGUGCUAGACGUUGGGGAACAUGGUUUCUCGGUGUCGCAGCUAACGCAUUAAGCACUCCGCCUGGGGAGUACGGCCGCAAGGUUAAAACUUAAAUGAAUUGGCGGGG
This 414-nucleotide ribosomal RNA is filed under the name uncultured prokaryote. RNAcentral describes it as "bacterial SSU rRNA". It matches the Rfam family "Bacterial small subunit ribosomal RNA", at positions 505 to 918 of the family's 1533-position model. The record is from RNAcentral.